Molecule: ribosomal RNA, 253 nt
Filed under: uncultured bacterium
Lineage: Bacteria
Description: partial 16S ribosomal RNA
Rfam family: Bacterial small subunit ribosomal RNA
Source: RNAcentral
UACGUAGGGUGCAAGCGUUGUCCGGAAUUAUUGGGCGUAAAGGGCUCGUAGGCGGUCUGUCGCGUCGGUAGUGAAAACUCAGGGCUUAACCCUGAGCCUGCUUCCGAUACGGGCAGACUAGAGGUAUGCAGGGGAGAACGGAAUUCCUGGUGUAGCGGUGAAAUGCGCAGAUAUCAGGAGGAACACCGGUGGCGAAGGCGGGUCUCUGGGCCGAUACUGACGCUGAGGAGCGAAAGCGUGGGGAGCAAACAGG